This 253-nucleotide ribosomal RNA is filed under the name uncultured bacterium. RNAcentral describes it as "partial 16S ribosomal RNA". It matches the Rfam family "Bacterial small subunit ribosomal RNA", at positions 524 to 776 of the family's 1533-position model. The record is from RNAcentral.
UACGUAGGUGGCAAGCGUUGUCCGGAUUUACUGGGCGUAAAGAGCGCGCAGGCGGUCGGAUAAGUCGAAUGUGAAAGCCCCCGGCUUAACUGGGGAGGGUCAUUCGAUACUGUUCGACUGGAAGGCAGGAGAGGGAAGCGGAAUUCCCGGUGUAGUGGUGAAAUUCGUAGAUAUCGAGAGGAACACCGGUGGCGAAAGCGGCCAUCUGGACGAGGACUGACGCUGAGAUGCGAAAGCGUGGGGAGCAAACAGG